RNAcentral lists this ribosomal RNA (492 nucleotides) under uncultured bacterium. RNAcentral's name for it is "partial 16S ribosomal RNA". It matches the Rfam family "Bacterial small subunit ribosomal RNA", at positions 29 to 507 of the family's 1533-position model. The record is from RNAcentral.
AGUGAACGCUGGCGGUAGGCCUAACACAUGCAAGUCGAACGGCAGCACAGUAAGAGCUUGCUCUUACGGGUGGCGAGUGGCGGACGGGUGAGGAAUACAUCGGAAUCUACUUUUUCGUGGGGGAUAACGUAGGGAAACUUACGCUAAUACCGCAUACGACCUACGGGUGAAAGCAUGGGAUCUUCGGACCUUGCGCGAUUGAAUGAGCCGAUGUCGGAUUAGCUAGUUGGCGGGGUAACGGCCCACCAAGGCGACGAUCCGUAGCUGGUCUGAGAGGAUGAUCAGCCACACUAGAACUGAGACACGGUCCAGAGUCGUACGGGAGGCAGCAGUGGGGAAUAUUGGACAAUGGGCGCAAGCCUGAUCCAGCCAUACCGCGUGAGUGAAGAAGGCCUUCGGGUUGUAAAGCCCUUUUGUGGGGAAAGAAAAGCAGCAGGUUAAUACCCCGCUGUUCUGACGGUACCCAAAGAAUAAGCACCGGCUAAAUUCGUG